Molecule: ribosomal RNA, 189 nt
Filed under: uncultured bacterium
Lineage: Bacteria
Description: partial 16S ribosomal RNA
Rfam family: Bacterial small subunit ribosomal RNA
Source: RNAcentral
CCUACGGGAGGCAGCAGUGAGGAAUAUUGGUCAAUGGACGAGAGUCUGAACCAGCCAAGUAGCGUGCAGGAUGACUGCCCUAUGGGUUGUAAACUGCUUUUAUCAGGGAAUAAAGUGAGGCACGUGUGCCUUUUUGUAUGUACCUGAUGAAUAAGGACCGGCUAAUUCCGUGCCAGCAGCCGCGGUAAU